This is a non-coding RNA of Mus musculus (house mouse), 353 nucleotides long. The record is from the annotation of a RefSeq genome assembly. NCBI's taxonomy places the organism in Eukaryota, Metazoa, Chordata, Mammalia, Rodentia, Muridae.
AUGGAGUGGGAACUGAGCUUAAUUUUCAUUUUUGCUCUUUUAAAAGAUGUCCAGUGUGAAGUGCAGCUGUUGGAGACUGGAGGAGGCUUGGUGCAACCUGGGGGGUCACGGGGACUCUCUUGUGAAGGCUCAGGGUUCACUUUUAGUGGCUUCUGGAUGAGCUGGGUUCGACAGACACCUGGGAAGACCCUGGAGUGGAUUGGAGACAUUAAUUCUGAUGGCAGUGCAAUAAACUACGCACCAUCCAUAAAGGAUCGAUUCACUAUCUUCAGAGACAAUGACAAGAGCACCCUGUACCUGCAGAUGAGCAAUGUGCGAUCGGAGGACACAGCCACGUAUUUCUGUAUGAGAUA